AUGGACCAUUCCAUCCCUUUUUCCCGUGCAUAUGCAUCGGACUCGGAUGAUGAUGGUCCCGAUGAACAAGUUGAUGCGGAGGGGUUCACGGUGAAGGAGGCCGAAGCUUUCGAGAAGGUAUUUGGUCGGGAUCAUCGGACUACAUUGUUCAAGGAUGUUAGUCUUGCGGAUGAAGCCGUGGUAGAUGGUGGCCAAUGUGUAGCUCUUGGGGUUAGGCCAAGCUCUCACCGUGAUUUGGUAGACGACAAGAACCGGAUUGCUAAAGGUUCUAAGUUCGACAGCUUGUUGGAUUUGAAGAUGUGGCUCGACAACUACUCGGUUACGCAUUAUCGUCCACACAAGGUGGUGCACUCGGACGUCAAUGUGCGCUACAUGGUUGCAUGUGCAUGUGAAGAUGAAAAGGAGGUCCAACUUGGACUUACAAGAGGCCGUGGUGGUGGUAGAGGUCGUGGAAAGGAGGUCCAACAAGGAGUGGCAAGACGCCGUGGCGGUUGUCCGUGGAUUGUGCGUGCAAGACCAUGGAAAGGAGGUCCUACUUGGCAUGUAGUGAGUUGUGUGCCAACUCACAUGUGCCAAGGCAAAAGGGUGGAUGGCAAGAUUGUGUCCCAAGACCACAAACAACUCACGUCCGAGUUCAUCGCUUACAGGCUCUCCAACUCAAUAUCCACACUUCCAACAAUGAGCGUCCAACAUGUCAUUGACCUUGUGAAAGCCAUCUUUCAUUACAAGGUGAAAUACGGCAAGGCAUGGAAGGCGAAGCAAGCUGCAUUUAAGAUGUUGUAUGGUACAUGGGAGGAAGCAUACAACUGA
Molecule: ribosomal RNA, 810 nt
Filed under: Triticum aestivum (bread wheat)
Lineage: Eukaryota; Viridiplantae; Streptophyta; Magnoliopsida; Poales; Poaceae
Description: partial small subunit ribosomal RNA
Source: RNAcentral